UACGUAGGAGGCGAGCGUUGUCCGGAGUUACUGGGCGUAAAGCGCACGCAGGCGGUCAGAUCAGUCUGGAGUGACAGUCGUCGGCUUAACCGACGAAGUGUUCUGGAAACUGUCUGACUUGAGGGCUUCAGAGGGACACGGAAUUCCGGGUGGAGUGGUGAAAUGCGUAGAGAUCCGGAGGAACACCAAAGGCGAAGGGCAGUGUCCUGGGGAGUAC
RNAcentral lists this ribosomal RNA (217 nucleotides) under uncultured bacterium. RNAcentral describes it as "partial 16S ribosomal RNA". It matches the Rfam family "Bacterial small subunit ribosomal RNA", at positions 524 to 739 of the family's 1533-position model. The record is from RNAcentral.